This 570-nucleotide long non-coding RNA is filed under the name Carica papaya (papaya). RNAcentral's name for it is "long non-coding RNA (CPAP_LNC002200)". The record is from RNAcentral. Lineage: Eukaryota; Viridiplantae; Streptophyta; Magnoliopsida; Brassicales; Caricaceae.
AUCAGAUGGACAAGAUUUAUCGUGAUGGACGAUGUAGAAAUUCCACACAAUCAACUUUAAUGAAAAAUCAUCGAACGACCCUCUUUGCUCUUGUAUCCCCGAACGACGGGCUAGAUCGACACGAGAUGGGUAUUUAAACAUCGCAUCAUAGGAGAACCUAACCCUAGCUUCCCAGCCCUCACUAGAGAAGAAGAACCAGACGCUGGAGAAGGAGGCCGAAUCCCUGCUACCACCGUACCGGAGCCACCGCCGACUCUAAAAAAAUGUAAAAAUUUCCCUUUCCACUCGAAAUUUGAUUCUAAGUCUCCUUGUGGCUAUAUCAAAGCAAAGGGAUAAUGAGUGAGUCAUAAAUUGUGGGAAAAACCCAACGGAGUUGCUGCGGCCAAAACCCUAAAACCCCUCAGAUGGCCAUCUUCUCGUUUUUCCGUUUCACACGAUUCGUUGACCAUUGUGUUUACCGUCCCUUUCUGUGUAGGUUAGUCGAAGGAGAAACCCCAGCCGCAAAGGAGAACCAGCAGAGCCGCUGCACCGGAGACCCCCUAUCGGUAGAUUUGUUUGUUUUUUUUAUUU